GUCAUUGAUGCCAUGCUUCCAGGAAAAGCCUCUAAGCUUCAGAUUGUAAGGAAUCGUACCCCAAACCGACACAGGUGGUCGGGUAGAGAAUACCAAGGCGCUUGAGAGAACUCGGGUGAAGGAACUAGGCAAAAUGGUACCGUAACUUCGGGAGAAGGUACGCUCUUAUCAGUGAAGUCCCUUGCGGAUGGAGCAGACGAGAGUCGCAGAUACCAGGUGGCUGCAACUGUUUAUUAAAAACACAGCACUGUGCAAAAUCGUAAGAUGACGUAUACGGUGUGACGCCUGCCCGGUGCCGGAAGGUUAAUUGAUGGGGUUAGACUUCGGUCGAAGCUCUUGAUCGAAGCCCCGGUAAACGGCGGCCGUAACUAUAACGGUCCUAAGGUAGCGAAAUUCCUUGUCGGGUAAGUUCCGACCUGCACGAAUGGCGUAAUGAUGGCCACGCUGUCUCCACCCGAGACUCAGUGAAAUUGAAAUCGCUGUGAAGAUGCAGUGUACCCGCGGCUAGACGGAAAGACCCCGUGAACCUUUACUACAGCUUGGCACUGAACAUUGAACCUACAUGUGUAGGAUAGGUGGGAGACUUUGAAACCGCGUCGCUAGAUGUGGUGGAGUCGUCCUUGAAAUACCACCCUUGUAGUUUUGAUGUUCUAACGUUGGUCCCUGAAUCGGGAUUACGGACAGUGCCUGGUGGGUAGUUUGACUGGGGCGGUCUCCUCCCAAAGAGUAACGGAGGAGCACGAAGGUGGGCUAAACACGGUUGGACAUCGUGUGGUUAGUGCAAUGGCAUAAGCCCGCUUGACUGCGAGAAUGACAAUUCGAGCAGGUGCGAAAGCAGGUCAUAGUGAUCCGGUGGUUCUGAAUGGAAGGGCCAUCGCUCAACGGAUAAAAGGUACUCCGGGGAUAACAGGCUGAUACCGCCCAAGAGUUCAUAUCGACGGCGGUGUUUGGCACCUCGAUGUCGGCUCAUCACAUCCUGGGGCUGAAGUCGGUCCCAAGGGUAUGGCUGUUCGCCAUUUAAAGUGGUACGCGAGCUGGGUUUAGAACGUCGUGAGACAGUUCGGUCCCUAUCUGCCGUGGGCGUUGGAAAAUUGAAGGGGGCUGCUCCUAGUACGAGAGGACCGGAGUGGACGAACCUCUGGUGUUCGGGUUGUCAUGCCAAUGGCAUUGCCCGGUAGCUAAGUUCGGAAUCGAUAACCGCUGAAAGCAUCUAAGCGGGAAGCGAGCCCUGAGAUGAGUUUUCCCUGACGCUAUAAGCGUCCUUAAGGGUUGUUCAAGACUAGAACGUUGAUAGGCAGGGUGUGUAAGUGCUGCGAGGCAUUGAGCUAACCUGUACUAAUUGCCCGUGAGGCUUAACCAUACAACACCCAAGGGGUU
RNAcentral lists this ribosomal RNA (1377 nucleotides) under Vibrio sp. Scap16. RNAcentral's name for it is "partial 23S ribosomal RNA". It matches the Rfam family "Bacterial large subunit ribosomal RNA", at positions 1590 to 2925 of the family's 2925-position model. The record is from RNAcentral. Lineage: Bacteria; Pseudomonadati; Pseudomonadota; Gammaproteobacteria; Vibrionales; Vibrionaceae.